GACGAACGCUGGCGGCGUGCUUAACACAUGCAAGUCGAGCGGUAAGGCCCUUUCGGGGUACACGAGCGGCGAACGGGUGAGUAACACGUGGGUGACCUGCCCUUAGCUCUGGGAUAAGCCUGGGAAACUGGGUCUAAUACCGGAUAUGACUCCAUAACGCAUGUUGUGGGGUGGAAAGCCUUGUGCGGCUAGGGGAUGGGCCCGCGGCCUAUCAGCUUGUUGGUGGGUGAUGGCCACCAAGGCGACGACGGGUAGCCGGCCUGAGAGGGCGACCGGCCACACUGGGACUGAGACACGGCCCAGACUCCUACGGGAGGCAGCAGUGGGGAAUCUUGCGCAAUGGGCGAAAGCCUGACGCAGCGACGCCGCGUGGGGA
Molecule: ribosomal RNA, 376 nt
Filed under: uncultured bacterium
Lineage: Bacteria
Description: bacterial SSU rRNA
Rfam family: Bacterial small subunit ribosomal RNA
Source: RNAcentral